Molecule: long non-coding RNA, 176 nt
Filed under: Ictidomys tridecemlineatus (thirteen-lined ground squirrel)
Lineage: Eukaryota; Metazoa; Chordata; Mammalia; Rodentia; Sciuridae
Description: lncRNA (ENSSTOG00000033038.1)
Source: RNAcentral
GGAAGAGAGAGUCAGUGACAUGGGGAACCCUUCUUUUUAUCUGGAUCAGGCUUUACUGUCCUCCACCAAAGAGCUAACUAAGUGUGGUCCUACAAACCCAGGAGCCAAAAAUGAAAGGAUUUAACAUGCAGAAAAGUAUAAAUAAAUCAGCAUGACAAGUGAAAGAAGAGGAGAUG